CGUGAGACAGGUUGGUUUCCUAUCUUCUGCAGCCGUUCGAAUAUUGAGAAGAUUUGCUCCUAGUACGAGAGGACCGGAGUGAACUGACCUCUGGUGUACCUGCUCUAGCGCCAGCUGGACCGCCCAGUAGCUAUGUCGGGAAUGGAUAAGUUCUGAAAGCAUCUAAGAACGAAGCCAACUUCAAGAUAAGUAUUCGUUGAAGGGUCGUAAGAGAUUAUUACGUUGAUAGGAGCUAGAUGUACGCACAGCAAUGUGUUUAGUCGAGGCUUACUAAGUACCCGAAUCCUAUU
This 290-nucleotide ribosomal RNA is filed under the name Candidatus Moraniibacteriota bacterium. RNAcentral's name for it is "Candidatus Moranbacteria bacterium partial 23S ribosomal RNA". It matches the Rfam family "Bacterial large subunit ribosomal RNA", at positions 2620 to 2925 of the family's 2925-position model. The record is from RNAcentral. Lineage: Bacteria; Candidatus Moraniibacteriota.